This is a long non-coding RNA of Esox lucius (northern pike), 679 nucleotides long. RefSeq lists it as uncharacterized. The transcript has 2 exons. The record is from RefSeq and is a predicted model, not a curated record. NCBI's taxonomy places the organism in Eukaryota, Metazoa, Chordata, Actinopteri, Esociformes, Esocidae.
AGCGGCAUCAUCACAUCAUUGAGAGGUUUUUGUACGACCAGUAAUAGAGGUUGUAUCACCGUGGUUGACUUUUGGUACUGGCACAAGACUCGAUGUUGGAAGUAACAAACCUCCGACCCUGACUGUCCUGCCUCCCUCCAGCGAGGAGCUUUCCAAAAAGACAACAGCCACACUGUUGUGUCUGGCCAACAAGGGCUUCCCCUCAGACUGGACCAUUAGCUGGAAAGUGAACGGCAACAGCCAGAAGCACAAUGGCAGUCGUGGGGUCCUGGAUAAGGAUGGCCUGUACACCUGGAGCAGCACCCUGACUCUGACUGUCCAGGAGUGGACCAAGGCAGAAACGGUGACCUGUGAGGCCCACCAGACCUCCCAGCCUCCAGUCACUCAGACCCUGAGAAAGGAUGACUGUUCAGGCUAGGAUCUGUCAUUCACAACCCUCAUUGGAGAGAACGCUUGUUCCUUUGCUUUGUUUUGGGGUCAGCCAUUCACUCUCAAGUAGAUUAAAAUGGGGCUUUUCUUGUUUAAUGUUUGUCUAUCCAUUUUUCUCUGUUGUAUUAGUGUUAGAUUGUAUACAUUCUGCUUAAAUUCAUUUCAGAUACUGUACGGCUUUUAAUGCUGUAAGUUUACAUUAAUACGUUUUGAAGUAUAAAUCUUUGAAAAUAAAAAUGUCUCUGGAGAA